GAAAUGCGAUAAGUAGUGUGAAUUGCAAAAUUCAGUGAAUCAUCGAAUCUUUGAACGCACAUUGCGCCCCUUGGUAUUCCAUGGGGCAUGCCUGUUCGAGCGUCAUUUGUACCCUCAAGCUUUGCUUGGUGUUGGGCGUCUUGUCGGAAUAUCCGACUCGCCUUAAAUACAUUGGCAGCCGGCACUUUGGCCUAGGAGCGCAGCACAUUUUGCGAUCGUAAGCCGUUGUGACAGCAUCCAUAAGAUUUAUUUUACCACGUUUGACCUCGGAUCAGGUAGGGAUACCCGCUGAACUUAAGC
RNAcentral lists this unclassified non-coding RNA (300 nucleotides) under plant metagenome. RNAcentral's name for it is "partial contains 5.8S ribosomal RNA, internal transcribed spacer 2, and large subunit ribosomal RNA". The stretch from base 1 to 105 matches the Rfam family "5.8S ribosomal RNA", at positions 50 to 154 of the family's 154-position model. The record is from RNAcentral.